RNAcentral lists this ribosomal RNA (670 nucleotides) under uncultured organism. Its description in RNAcentral is "bacterial SSU rRNA". It matches the Rfam family "Bacterial small subunit ribosomal RNA", at positions 707 to 1387 of the family's 1533-position model. The record is from RNAcentral.
CACCAGUGGUGAAGGCGGCCUCUUGCGUUGUUUUUGACGCUGAUGGCGGAUAGCUACGUGAGCGAACGGGAUUAGUACCCCAUUAGUCCUAGCCGUUAAUGAUGGAUGAAGUGUGUGGGGGGUAUAGAUCCCUCUCCGUGUCGAAGUUUAACGCGUUAAGCAUCCCGCGUGGGGAGUACGGCCGCAAGGCUUAAACUCAAACGAAUUGACGGGGGCCCGCACAAGCAGCGGAGCGUGUGGCUUAAUCCGUUGCUACACGAAGAACUUUACGUGGGCUUGACAUGUAGGUAUUAUUGAAGCGAAAGCUGAACGACCCUUCGGGGAGCAUACACAGGUGUUGCAUGGCUGUAGUCAGUUCGUGCCCUGAGGUGUCGGGUUAAGUCCCGUAACGAACGCAACCCUUGCCCUUAGUUACAUGUGUAUAAGGGGACUGCCCGGGACAACUGGGAGGAAGGUGGGGAUGACGUCAAGUCAGCAUGGCCUUUAUGUCCAGGGCUACACACUCGUUACAAUGGCCGGUACAAUGGGUCGCCAAGCCGUGAGGCGGAGCCAAUCCCCCAAAGCCGGUCUAAGUUUGGAUUGUGGGGUGCCAUUUGCCCAUAUGAAAAUGGAGUUGUUAGUAACCGCGGGUCAGCAAUAGUGCGGUGAAUACGUUCCCGGGCGUUGUUCA